RNAcentral lists this ribosomal RNA (253 nucleotides) under uncultured bacterium. RNAcentral describes it as "partial 16S ribosomal RNA". It matches the Rfam family "Bacterial small subunit ribosomal RNA", at positions 524 to 776 of the family's 1533-position model. The record is from RNAcentral.
UACGAAGGGUGCAACCGUUGCUCGGAAUUAUUGGGCGUAAAGCGCACGUAGGCGGCUUUGCAAGUCGGAUGUGAAAUCCCUCGGCUCAACCAAGGAAGUGCAUCCGAAACUGCAGAGCUUGAGUACCCAAGAGGAUCGCGGAAUUCCCGGUGUAGAGGUGAAAUUCGUAGAUAUCGGGAGGAACACCAGUGGCGAAGGCGGCGAUCUGGGUGGAUACUGACGCUGAGGUGCGAAAGCGUGGGGAGCAAACAGG